AUUGAACGCUGGCGGCAGGCCUAACACAUGCAAGUCGAACGGUAACAGGAAGAAGCUUGCUUCUUUGCUGACGAGUGGCGGACGGGUGAGUAAUGUCUGGGAAACUGCCUGAUGGAGGGGGAUAACUACUGGAAACGGUAGCUAAUACCGCAUAACGUCGCAAGACCAAAGAGGGGGACCUUCGGGCCUCUUGCCAUCGGAUGUGCCCAGAUGGGAUUAGCUAGUAGGUGGGGUAACGGCUCACCUAGGCGACGGUCCCUAGCUGGUCUGAGAGGAUGACCAGCCACACUGGAACUGAGACACGGUCCAGACUCCUACGGGAGGCAGCAGUGGGGAAUAUUGCACAAUGGGCGCAAGCCUGAUGCAGCAAUGCCGCGUGUAUGAAGAAGGCCUUCGGGUUGUAAAGUACUUUAAGCGGGGAGGAAGGGAGUAAAGUUAAUACCUUUGCUCAUUGACGUUACCCGCAGAAGAAGCACCGGCUAACUCCGUG
This 490-nucleotide ribosomal RNA is filed under the name uncultured bacterium. RNAcentral describes it as "partial 16S ribosomal RNA". It matches the Rfam family "Bacterial small subunit ribosomal RNA", at positions 30 to 507 of the family's 1533-position model. The record is from RNAcentral.